This 583-nucleotide long non-coding RNA is filed under the name Salmo salar (Atlantic salmon). RNAcentral describes it as "lncRNA (ENSSSAG00000090034.1)". Lineage: Eukaryota; Metazoa; Chordata; Actinopteri; Salmoniformes; Salmonidae. The record is from RNAcentral.
CUUGGAUUUGUUGCCUGCUAAUUGGAGGGAUAACGUGUUUUACCCUUCAAGGUGCGUUUGGUUUCCACUAAUUCAGCUCAAAUCAGUCUAGUUCCAAUAGUAUAAGGCUAGCCUUUUACAUAAUGUUUUUCUUUGUUUCCUAGAUAAUGCUUAUGGGCAUCCUGCCUACACUGAACCAGAAUCAACUGGAUCCCAAGCAAGUGUGGUGUCUGGUCCAAAUGCUAAAGCUAAUGGCCGCAAUACCCCAGCUAGUGUGACGUUGUGUCGAAAUGCCUCAGCAGAAGCGGCCGGCCCCCGCGCCUCAGCAGAAGCUACUGGCAAAAAUACCCCAGCAAGUGUGACGUUGUGUCGCAAUGCCUCAGCAGAAGCGACCGGCCCCCGCGCCUCAACAAAAGCGACCGGCCCCCGCGCCUCAGCAGAAGCGACCGGCCCCCGCGCCUCAGCAGAAGCGACCGGCCCCCGCGCCUCAGCAGAAGCGACCGGCCCCCGCGCCUCAGCAGAAGCGACCGGCCCCCGCGCCUCAGCAGAAGCGACCGGCCCCGCGCCUCAGCAGAAGCGACCGGCCCCGCGCCUCAGCAGCGAG